This is a long non-coding RNA of Homo sapiens (human), 1488 nucleotides long. Ensembl annotates it as long intergenic non-protein coding RNA 2036. NCBI's taxonomy places the organism in Eukaryota, Metazoa, Chordata, Mammalia, Primates, Hominidae. The record is from Ensembl.
GGCUCCCCACGAGGCAGCAAACAUUAGAGUCACUCUUUUGUGAAAUUAUGGGGAGGCUGAGUGGGCCAAGCACUUGUGUGUGUGUGUGCAUAUGUGUGUGCAUGUACGCCUGUGUGUGAGGAGACACACAGAUGUGUAUAAAGAGAGGAAUGCCGUCUGUUAGCAACUGUGGCAUUGAUUUAUAAUCACUUCCUGUAGUCACAGAAUGACUGAGUGGCGUCUUUCAAUUCUCACGAUUAAAAAAAAAAAGAGAUGGUGAAAAAAAAUCCUAAGUGCUAAAUAUCUAUGUAUUAUGUAUUAUUAUUCUUAAGAGCUUGCAAAAGCCUUAUAACAUGUAUGAUUUACAAUUAAUGGGCCUAAUUCUUCCAAUACAGAUUUCUUCCUUCCAUGACUAUAUAAUUCAAGUUAUACUGCUAAAUAUUUUAUAAUGAGAGUACAAAUUAUGAUGGCCUUUGUAACUGUUUUCAUGGGAGCAUUUAUUAUUGGGCUGAUGUUGAUGGGUUAGUAGAUUUGUGCAUAUCCGUCUCUCUUAUCCAUUGCUUUAUGAGUGGACAAGAAGUGUGGGAAUGCGUGCUGUGAACAUGUGGUCACUCUAGACUUUUCUCAAAAAUAUAAAAGACAUACAUUUAUUUCCCUGCACAAUCACACACACAAAAAAGAAAGAAAUAAAGAAAAGGUGCGGAAGACCUACUUAAAACCUGAGAGUCUCGAAUAGGAGAGGCGCUUUCAGAUCAGCCCGAGUCUUCUGCAGCGCACAGGAGCUAGUCGUACUGAAAAGAAUGAAGUUGGACUUGUCCAGGCGAGUUUCGGACAGUGCUGGGCUGCCCUGCUCUGAUCUCCUGGGUGUCUUCACCUCCUCUGGUUCCUAAGUCGGCUGCUGCACCAGCACCCAUCAAACUCUCCUGGAAGAGGAAGUGACAGCUCACCGGUAGCCUAGAAGGCCCCUGUGGGCAGAAGCAUGGACUUACUCCUCCUCAUGGAGAUGCGGCUGAGCCAUAUUUCCUUGGCACCUCUCUGGAACCUUCGACAACCACCACCUCAGACACUAACCAGACUUUAGGUCCAUUCCUUUCAUGGCUAAAAUGAGACAGUCCACAAUGUUGAUUUUAUUUGUAGGGGAUGUCAGGAUUCCAGAAAAGCAGACUUGGAAAGCAACAAAACGUUAACUUGCAGCUCACUGAGGCCCUUACACUUGUUCUGGGCACCUCUGUAUGUUAAAAGAAGUCCAAUAUCUUUAGCUGCUGGUUAUAGGUGGCCAUAUGUUUCUGCACAGAAAUGGGGCUCCCCUUGCUAGACUAAUUUUCUAAUUUUUCCUCAAGCUUCAUUGAUUCAUAUUCUUCUACUUGACCCUGACUGUCAGGACCAACAACACCAAAUAACACCAAAGUCUCUUGCUCCUGUCCUCAGAACCUCUCAGAGGCAUCCUCUGCCCUGUUGGAGCCAUUUUAUUUCAGGUUGAUCCUUAAUUAAAUUCAGCGAGAUGCAGGA